CUGGGCAAAAGGCCUCUUUUGGAGUUGCUAAGCAGGUGGAUGCACAGCGGGGUAGAGUGGGCUCCCACAGGGGCACCCUGCCUGAGAAUGAAGCUGACCUAGAGGAACAACAAGUGAAAGGCAGGGGUGGUAAUUUUGCAUCCUGGACUCAACCAUGUCUGACCAAAUGCAUGGAUUUGCAGGUAUGUGAUUUCACACAUCUCCACUCAACUUUUACUCUACGCCCUUAGGAAUAGCUUGAACAGCUCUGUGUGAUAAUCCAACUUCCAUUCACCAUCGUUUCUGGGUGAUAGCAUCUUUGGGAACCCCUAGGGGGCAGGGCACCUGGAAGGGUAGGGUCCAGAAACUUGUGGGCCCAGGGUUAUAAUCUCAAUUGUAAUAAUGUCAAACAUCAUCCGGAACUUGUAACAGAAGCUGCCAACUUCAUCUUCCUGCUGUAUUUAGGUAGGAUUUAAGUUCUCUAAGAGUUUUAUGUCAACUACAUCAACAGUUAUUGCAGGGUCAUGUCACUAGUCCAUGGUGACUUUCUUAUCACAUGAAACUGCUAAUGAACUUGAGUUUAUAAGAUCCAAAAUAGUGUAAAGUGUAUAAACACCCAAACCUCUAUCUCCUGUGAUGUUUGCAAAUAAUCAGUCUCUCACAAUCACCACAAUUGACUUCAAAAUAAAACAAACUUUCCUUUCUACUUGCAAAAGUACAUGCAUGCAUUAGUUGAGGUAGUGCCCUGGUCCACUUUCCACCCGUGCACCUAGUGCUACCCAUAGUAGAUACCCCAAGGAUAGCUGUAGAGCAGAAGAGGGCAUCAUGGAGGCAGGAGAGGAGGGGAGGGCCAUGCCAGGGAAUGAAGUGGAGCGAAUCAUGUUGUGUGCACGUCUGAAUAUGCACGAGGAACCCCACUAUUAUGCACAAUUCGAAUGUGCUAAUAAAACAUAAUAAAGAAAUUCAAACCCCAGAUUGUGUUUUGGCGCUCUUGGAUGCACAAGAAUGAGAUGGUGUCAUUUCAAAUGAAAAUGGCAAUAUAUAGGAAGCAUAUUUCAUGAAGUAAGAAGUUUUACGGUCACAUAAAUCCUUCUGCUAUAAAUUAUAACACAUUUUGCCUGCUAAUUUAAACAGAUUCACAGCCCUGGAAAGUACUCUAGAUUUAAUUUUUGCACAUCGAUGCAAACUCCAGAAAGAAACAUGUACUUCUUCAAAAACAAAAGUAUUUCCUGACACACGUUCUCCCUUCCCUGGGUCCUAUGCAACGUUCUGUGCCAUUGGCAGGAAUAAGGCUUAAGCUAUUAGCAUCACAAAUCGGUUAGGAGACAGGGUUUGAGUGAUGGGGAAGGUAUAUGGAGCAGAACCCAGCAAAUUAGGUCUGUCACUAUUGUUUUACCUUUAUUUAUUAACAGCAAUAAUUCUGUCCUCGUUUUUUGUGGAGCACUUAAUCAAUUAUGUGGCAUGCACAGCUCUUCACAUGGUUUUGGUGGACUUCUUCCUUCCCCUACACAGGCAGGUGCAAGUUGCUCCAAGGAAAGUCAAGAAGUCAAAGGGCACUUGUGGUUCCUGCUGUUGGGAGAACCUGAAUGGAUACGCCCUUCCCAGAGCAAGAUGUAAGAAACGAACAGACAACAGCAGACCAAGGCAAAGCCACUCUAAAGAGACUGGGACCUCCAGGUACCCAGGGUGGCAAGAGCAGUUCUGGUGAAAGUCUGAGGGUGUUUAAAGAGAGUGUGCGGAGGAGCCCGUCAUCCCGUAAGUAACAGGAGGGACUUGAGCUGGGCACUGCCCAUCUAAGCUCUGUGGCUGGUAGAGGAGCCAAUCAGGUUUCAAGCUGCCUUUCCCUGACCUGGCCAGGGCGCCUGAGGGGAGGGACACGGGGGUUAAGAGCCAAUGAUCCCAUGGUAAGAUCACUGCCACUAAGAGCUCACUCAUCCCACCACCCUAUUCUCUGCUGCAAUGUCACAUCACCUGGCAAGCUUCUCAUUACAAGGUGGCUCUGCAGGGCACCUUUUAACUCUGGGAAGAAAUGGUUUGGUCACAUGAACUCUGAGUUUUAGUGCAUUUGUAGAUUUUUAAAAAUUGUGGUAAAAUAUCUAUCAUUUGUAAAGGUAUUAUUUUAACCUUUUAAAGUAUGCAAUUCAGUGGCAUUAAAGUACAUUCAGGAGGUUGGGCUACCAUCACCAUGAACCAUUUCCAAAACUUUCUCAUUAUGUCAAACAGAAGCUCUACACAUAGUCAAGAGCUCCUGUCACCCCUCCUCUCAGUCUCAGGUACCCACUACUCUGCUUUCUGAUUCUAUGACUUUUCCUACUCUAGAUACCUCAUCGGAGUGGAGUGACACGUGUUUGUCCCUUUGUCUCUGGCUUCUUUCAUUUAGCAUUAUGUUUUCAAGGUUCAUCUGUGUUGCACCAUGCAUCAGAAUUUCUUGAUUUAUACUCCUUUGUGUGUAUACACCACAUUUUGUUAAUAUAUUCAUUUGUUGAUGGGUACUUGGGGUUAUUUUCACCUUUUAGCUAUUGUGGACAGUGCUGCUCUGAACUAUGGUGUACAUAUGCCUGAUUAAGUCCCUGCUUUCUAUGUCUUUGGGUAUAGAAUUCCUUGGUCAUAUGGUAAUUCUAUGUUUAACUUUUUGAGGAAUCCUCAAGAUGUCUUUCACAGUGGCUCACACCAUUAGGCAAUCCUACCAACAAUGCACCAAAGUGUUGUAUUAGUCCAUUUUCUGUUAGUAAAACAAAAUACUUGAUGCUGGAAUCUGUAUAAAGAAAAAAUUCAUUUAGUUCACAGUUUUAGAGGUUGGAAUCCCAAAGAAAGUAUAACCAGUUUGGUCAAGAGGACCCCUAGCUGCCUCAUAAUGGUGGGAGUGCACGUGAGGGAGGGGAUAACAUGGCAAGGUAGGAAGCCUGAGCAUGGGGAAGGGUCUUCCUGUGACCGCUCACGAGUUCCCACCUCUUUAAUUUCCCACCCCUACCAAACUGCCGCUGAGGACCAAGCCCCCAACACAUGCCCCCUUGGGUGACGCACUCCAACCAUAUCCAAGCCACAGAGGAGUCCUCCUGUCCCAUGUCCUAGCCAACACUUAUUUCCUGUUCUGUUUCUGUCAUGUCACCCUAAUGGGCAUGAAGGGGUGUCUAACCGUGCCUCGGAUUUGCAGUUCCCUAUUGAGCAUCUUCCCAUGAGCUCAGGGGCCAUUUGUGCAUCUUAUGGGGAGAAAAGUCUAUUCCAGUCCUUUUUCCAUUUUAAACACCAGGCUGUGGAGGUGAUUUCUUAAUGUAAUCUGGGGUAACUGAUCUAAGCCCUGGAAUUCCUACUAACGUGGUGGGGAAGUGGCUGUCCUGAUCAUGUGGACCAAAGCUUGAUUACUGUGUGGCAGUUAUUUCUAGAAUAAGUUAAAUUGUCCUCAGCAUUUACACUUGGGUCUACCACGCCUGACUAUUGUGAGUUUACAUCCACGAGGUGGAUUUUCUCUCCAGGUACUGCAAGGCAGAGGGCCUGGAUCCAGAGCACUGCAUAUUCUCCAGGGUCAUGAAAGUCACCCCCUGAGAUUCUAGGGUGAAAGUUACUGGCUCUGGGUAUUUUCUAGGUUAAUCUAAGACUUGUGCUGUCCAAUUCAAUAACCAGUGGCCACAUAUGGCCAUUUAAAUCCAAUUACAAUUAUUAAAAUGAAAUAGAAUGAAAAUUGAGUUUUCUAGUUCAUUAUUACAUUUUAACUGCUCAUUAGUUGCCUGUGAACAGAGUCCACUGUGUUGAACAACCACACACACGGAACUUUUCUAUCACCUCAGAAAAUUCUUUUGGUUAGUGCUGAUUAGAAAAUAAGAAUUUUACAAAAAGUAAUGAAAACAGAUUAUCAGCAACCAAAAAAGUGACUCCAUGGUUCAGAAAGAUAUUAGGGUUAGGCAACAAAGUUAGAAGAGAAUUGAAACAAACUAGACUGUCACUGCCAGGAAGGAGCCCAGAUGUGUUCUCUGUUCCAGAAUCUGCACAGGGAUCCCAGGGUCUCGCCCUCAGUGAGCACAGUCUAAGUGCCUGGUGGCCAUGAAGACACUGCUCAGUGUCCCUGCUGCUCUGCGGGCAGGUGACGGCUGUUCAUGUGGAGGCAUCUUCCACUGCCCACUUUCAGCUAGUGACAGGGUGAUGACAUAGCCCUUCCAGCCAGAUAUGGGAUUCCUCUCAGGCCACCUGCCCUUGAGGACCAACGCUUUGUGGAACUGUCUGCAGUCUAGGACUUUCCUAAUCCAGAGAUCAGGAAACCCUCCUCCUGCUUGCCCUGGGCAGGUGUUAAACCUGCAACAGGCCCUGGAGGCCUGCCCAGCUCCGUGAGCUCCUGUUUUUCCCCCUGGAGGAGGUCUAAUCUGGCUUAGCAUCUGCUGCACAGCGGAGCCUCACCAGGGCCGAGUGCUGCUGCUGCUGCUGCUGCUGGCCCUUUCUCAGUGUCUCCCCACCGCCUCCUUGGGUGGGAACUCCACAUCAGGCAUGUAAGCACCACUUCUGCCAUUUCCUCUCACAUCUCCAUGGUGAGAAGCUCUCAGGAGCAUGCCAGGUCACAGCCAAGCUGGGGAGACAGCUUCUGGCAUCCUCCAGAGGCCUCCCUAAUUUGGGGCUCUUGAACAGGACUUGUUCUUCUUCAUGCCCACCAGCUCCUGAAGCACAUUCAGAAACCAGAUGGUACUGGUUGUUUCUGCCUUUUGUUGAAGGUUGCCUUAUUUUUCCGGUUGCCCAGUGCUAUAAAAACACCAAGGACUUUUAAUUUUAAUUAUCCAGUUGAUGGAAAAAGCUGGAUAUACUAUUUUUUCUGAAUAAUUCUAGAACUUUCCCUCAACCUUUUUGUGUUUUCUCCUGACUUGAUCAAAAUACUUAUGAGCCCUGGAACUGAGUUCCAAUUUCUGGUCUAUUGCUCCACCAAGGCCUGGUUGUUUCCUUCUGCAGAAUGCCAUUCCUUCAUGAGCUCUCAUUUCAUCUCCUGGGGCCACACCUCUCCAAAUGUCACCUUUGUCUGUGUGUAUAAAGCUCAAGACAGAUGCCAGUGUUUCCCAGACCAUAUUCUCCAUAACAUGAGUGUUCUGAGAGGUCAAAACCUGUAGUCACAGAUGUGCCCUGCUGCUCUCCUGUUGGGACCAACCAUUGCGUAGUCCAGCCUCCAACUGCCAAAGCUGUGUCACUUUGCCCAGACUGCUCUCUGUGUGCUGCAGGCCAGGCGUCCUUCAACCAACCAGCAGUGAGCGGGCUCCAUGCCAGCUCUGUUCCCCAGCAGGAGCCUGGUGGGGAUUUGCUCGAGGACACCGUCCUGGGUGACUGCCUUCUGUCCCCAGUGUCCCUUCCUCACUCUCUGUUGCCAUUUGCUCAAAUAAUUUCCCAAAUAGACUUUUGCAGUGGAAUAGAGGAAGCCCACACUGAGGGGUCAUUUUAUCAGAAAAGAUGUGUCGAGAUCAGACACGUUUAGUGACUGCGAGGUUACACCAAAGUGAGUGAGUUUCCCUGCCACGAGGCUUUGAAGAGCACUCAGUAUGGGACUUGACUAGUGACUCUCCAGGGAUGAGAGGUACACAGCACACCCAAAGUUACAUGGCAAUGUGUUAUUAUGGGUACAGAAACAGUGUGUUGCACACACACACACACACACACACAGAGCGAUCCUUUGCGGAACACAGUUUGAGAACAGCUGGAGAGUGAUAACUGAACCACGUGUGCAGGAGGAACAGGGGUUGGGGAUGGUUCUGUUCCCCUUCCCAUAGACCAAUUUCAUACAAAAUGUAUAAAACUCACGAACACUCUGGUGUGAGAACACGAAAUCAUGAACACAUUUUUAAGACGCAGUACACGGGCUAAUGACCAGUGCUCACCGUGUGCUGUGGGUUACCUGAAAGCACGGACUCUGGGGAGGCCUGAAAGGCAGGAGUGUCGGGGGCUGAGGCCAUGGAGCUGCACGAUCGUCCUCCAAGAAGAGGGAAACCCUUGGAGACACUCUGUAGUGUUUCUGCCUUCCCAAUUAAUCCAGCUAACUCUGGUCCUCAGCCAACUCACUUUUUCAUUAUUAGGAGGACAAAUCAUAACAUAGCGUGACUGGAACUAAUUCAACAUGGCAAAUACUUUAAAACUUAAGUAGAAUUGAAGUUAAGUUCAUUUAAACCCCAAGAGCAAACUUACUUCCUGUUCCAAGACCCUUAGGCUUCUCAAGGGCUAAGUGGACACAACUCAGUGGGAUCCAAGGUGAGCCUCAUAAACAGGUGGCAUUGGGUCACCUCCUUGGGGAUUUCCAGAUGGCUGCUGCAAAUCUACCUCCCUUGCUUCUGAUGUGCCAACUAAAACUGCAAACUAUGGGCUCAGAGGUCAAAUCUCCCCUUCAACUAUUAUUUAUUGGUAACCAGGUGUGUGUGUGUGUUACUUCUUCAUGGAUCUCUCUUCAGAAAAAGAUGGGGGGGGAUCAUCCACCCUCAAGAAAUCACACCUGAAUACUAAAUUAAAUAUAUAUGUAUAUAUAUCUGUGUGUGUGUGAAUUCAUGUAUAUAAAUUUAAUAAAUGGAUAAAAUUCUUGCUAAUUAAAAUAUUUUAAAAUUUCUUUCUAGUUUUAUUUUGCCUGCAGAAAUUAGAGACCUUAUAGGUAACAUAUUUAUAUCAUUUUGAGCAACAAAUAAAAACAUUCAUAAACAUUUAUUUUAAAAAUGCUUCCUUCAUGAAUAGUCAUGCUCUGCAUUGAAUGUCUGUGUUCCACAAAUUCAUGUGUUAAAAUCCUAACCCCCAUGAGGUGGUGCUAAGAAGUGAGGCUUCAGGCGGGGGUUAGGUCAUGAGGGUGGAGCCCCAGCAAAUGGGAUUAGUGACUUGGUGAGAAGAGCCAGGAGAAGACUACCUUUCCCUCUGCCACAUGAGGAUACAAGAUAUCCCGAUCUGUGUGGCCUUGAACCCCAGCCUCCAGAACUGUGGGAAAUGAGUCUGUUGUUUUGGGCACCCAGUCUAGGUAUCCUGUGACAGCAGCUUGAAUUGGCAGAGGCCAGUCAUUUUGUCAUUAUUGUUAGGACGUCAUCUUUAUUUUGAAAGGGGACAUUAACUUUUCCAGCUAUCUGUGAGGUAGUGUAUCAUUGUCAUUUGUUUUUCUGGAACACUUGUCAGUUUAUAGAGGUAGCAUACUUGAUAUUUUUAAAAAUUUAACAACUUUUUAAAGAAGUUUUUCAUAAAAGAACCAUUGAAACCCUCUUUUGGUUUGAAUAAGGAAUGUCUCCCAAAGGCUCGUGUGUUGAAGGCUCUGUCCCCAAUUUUCCUGCUCAUUCCCAAACCAUUACCAAGAAUUAUACAGAUUUUACCACAUUCUACGGGCUGUGCAGACAGACUCUAAAGUGACCCAGGAUUCCCACCUCCUUGGUGUGCAGAGGUCUGCGGGGUCAGUCUCCUGCUUGAGUGUGGGUAGGGUGGGUAGCUGGCUCAACCUGAUGGAGCAAGACAAAGGUGAUGAACGUCACACCUAUGAUUCUUUUACACAGAUGUAACUUCCACCUGUUAGCAGAUACGCUCAUGAUGUCUCCCCUGCUGGUGUUGGUGAGUCAUGUUCUGGAUGGAGAAGACCAGGUGGUCAGGAGCUGAAGGUGGCCCUGGCCUGACAGCCAGAAACAUGCUGAGCCCUCAGCCCAACAGUCAGGGGCGAAACCAAUCCUGCCAACAACUGUGCACACUGGAAACACACCCUUCCCCACUCGGAUCUCGGAUGAGACCUCAGCCCUGGCCUUAACUUGAUCGCUGCCUUCAGAAAACCCCUCUGCAAAAGACAGGAGCCAGCCCUGCCUCCUGCCUGGACCCUUGUCCCCUGAAACUGUGAGAUAACAAAUGUGUGCAGUUUUAAGCCACCAUCAUGAUUUGUUUUGCAGCAAUUAAUAACCAAGACAGCUUUUGCCUUUACACAUGCAGCUAAUAUUUUCAGCAAUCACUUGGUUUUGAAGGAUAACAUGCAUCAAUCUCACAUGUGUGGCUGCUUCUGUUCUCUUCACCUAGAAGCUUUAUUAAAUUCCUAUCAAAGCAGCCUCUCUCCAUAAGGGGUUCUGCUGCAUAGUACUUAAAAAAAAGGAAAAACAAGCAUUGCUUUUAUUUUAAAAACUAUUCUCUUGAUAAUGGCUAUCUAAUUAACUUAAAAUUUAAAAUUAAAUUAAUUAAAUUUAAUUCUCCAGUUAAUCUUCCACUUGGUAGCUUAUGAAACAUGCAGCAUAUCAUACAGCCCUCUUAGUGGAACAGAAUCCUGCUAAAGCAUUUGAAAUUGUCUUCUCACUCAACAAAGAGCCUACUGUGCUCUUAUCACAAAAUCUAUUCUGAUGCUUUCAUCUUUAAGAUUUCAGCAAAAUCUCUUCUACUUUGAGGACAAAGGAAGGCACUGCAGUUUGUCCAGGUCUCUUGCUUCCUAUGUAUCAGUUUAGCCGUUGUGUCCGUGAUGAAGGUCCUGCUGCUGAGAGAUGGAGAGGAACUUCCAAACAAUGAGCGCAGACUUGGUGGAGGUCUUGAAAUGUUGAGUAUCCAGUCACUUUGAACUUCAGAAUAAAAGCAGUUGUUUUGGGUUCUAUCUCUAGGUGUCUUAGUUUGGAGGUUUCGGGUCUAGCUCAGGGCUCGGUUACCUGCCUAGAAGGACUCUGCCCUUCCCGCACCGUGGCCAUGCGGGCUGUUCCUCUCGCUGCUUCCGCCUCCACCCCCUUUGAAAGUCAGAAGAAAAAUCAGGGUCACCCCUAACAUCAGGUGCAAUCUCUGGGGCCUCCUCAUCUCAUCAGGGUCCUCCCAGCCCCUCUGUGACCUUCGCCUCAUCUGCCCCGUGGUUGGACAGGGUCAUCUUGCUUUUGUUCCCACCCACAUUGGCCUCUCCGGGGAGCCCAGUGAAGGCGGCUUGGCCCCAGGCCGUGGUCAGUGUGCUGUGCUUGGUUUGGAAGCCUCUGCCUCUGCGGCUUCUCCCACUGCUGAGGUCUUGAGAUGUGCUCCCGGUCUCUGGCUGAGAGCCCACGCUUCGUCCCCAGUGCCCGCGCUGUUCCUGGCAUGUAGACAGCACUCCAUGUACUUACUAAAUGAAAGAACGCCUCUCAGAGAGGCUUCCUGGGACACUGACGGUUUUCACUGGUUUCCAUCUCAGUUUGGACUCCGCUGUCCUCAUAAUGUCUUUGGACUUGGUACCUGUCAUUUUGCUGUGGUUCUAUUGUGAUGGCACAUUCAAAUGAUUUUCUUCAACCUAUAGGUUUUUACAUUUUUAAUUUUUAUUGAGAUAUAACGUUUGUAGUCUUUGUAGGGAGCAUUAUGA
RNAcentral lists this long non-coding RNA (9238 nucleotides) under Marmota monax (woodchuck). Lineage: Eukaryota; Metazoa; Chordata; Mammalia; Rodentia; Sciuridae. The record is from RNAcentral.